GACGAACGCUGGCGGCGUGCCUAAUACAUGCAAGUAGAACGCUGAAGCUUGGUGCUUGCACCGAGCGGAUGAGUUGCGAACGGGUGAGUAACGCGUAGGUAACCUGCCUGGUAGCGGGGGAUAACUAUUGGAAACGAUAGCUAAUACCGCAUAGGAGUAGAUGUUGCAUGACAUUUGCUUAAAAGGUGCAAUUGCAUCACUACCAGAUGGACCUGCGUUGUAUUAGCUAGUUGGUGAGGUAACGGCUCACCAAGGCAACGAUACAUAGCCGACCUGAGAGGGUGAUCAGCCACACUGGGACUGAGACACGGCCCAGACUCCUACGGGAGGCAGCAGUAGGGAAUCUUCGGCAAUGGACGGAAGUCUGACCGAGCAACGCCGCGUGAGUGAAGAAGGUUGUCGGAUCGUAAAGCUCGGUUGUAAGAGAAGAACGAGUGCGAGAGUGGAAAGUUCACACUGUGACGGUAUCUUACCAGAAAGGGACGGCUAACUACGUG
RNAcentral lists this ribosomal RNA (497 nucleotides) under uncultured bacterium. Its description in RNAcentral is "partial 16S ribosomal RNA". It matches the Rfam family "Bacterial small subunit ribosomal RNA", at positions 28 to 507 of the family's 1533-position model. The record is from RNAcentral.